Molecule: ribosomal RNA, 572 nt
Filed under: Saccharomyces cerevisiae (brewer's yeast)
Lineage: Eukaryota; Fungi; Ascomycota; Saccharomycetes; Saccharomycetales; Saccharomycetaceae
Description: partial large subunit ribosomal RNA
Rfam family: Eukaryotic large subunit ribosomal RNA
Source: RNAcentral
AAACCAACCGGGAUUGCCUUAGUAACGGCGAGUGAAGCGGCAAAAGCUCAAAUUUGAAAUCUGGUACCUUCGGUGCCCGAGUUGUAAUUUGGAGAGGGCAACUUUGGGGCCGUUCCUUGUCUAUGUUCCUUGGAACAGGACGUCAUAGAGGGUGAGAAUCCCGUGUGGCGAGGAGUGCGGUUCUUUGUAAAGUGCCUUCGAAGAGUCGAGUUGUUUGGGAAUGCAGCUCUAAGUGGGUGGUAAAUUCCAUCUAAAGCUAAAUAUUGGCGAGAGACCGAUAGCGAACAAGUACAGUGAUGGAAAGAUGAAAAGGACUUUGAAAAGAGAGUGAAAAAGUACGUGAAAUUGUUGAAAGGGAAGGGCAUUUGAUCAGACAUGGUGUUUUGUGCCCUCUGCUCCUUGUGGGUAGGGGAAUCUCGCAUUUCACUGGGCCAGCAUCAGUUUUGGUGGCAGGAUAAAUCCAUAGGAAUGUAGCUUGCCUCGGUAAGUAUUAUAGCCUGUGGGAAUACUGCCAGCUGGGACUGAGGACUGCGACGUAAGUCAAGGAUGCUGGCAUAAUGGUUAUAUGCCGC